Molecule: small RNA, 162 nt
Filed under: Chelonoidis abingdonii (Abingdon island giant tortoise)
Lineage: Eukaryota; Metazoa; Chordata; Testudines; Testudinidae
Description: TUC338 (ENSCABG00000006943.1)
Source: RNAcentral
GUGUCAGACAUUUAUUAUAGCUUCUGUUUAUUCCCAGAACUGGGUCAGAAUAGGCAGUGUCAGUGUAAAGCUUUCCCACCCUGUACUGGGAAGAUGUCUUAACCCUGAUUUAUAAGGAGGGUGAGAAGGUAAUUCAGUCUCCAUGAACAUAGCAGUGUUGCC